RNAcentral lists this ribosomal RNA (456 nucleotides) under uncultured bacterium. RNAcentral's name for it is "bacterial SSU rRNA". It matches the Rfam family "Bacterial small subunit ribosomal RNA", at positions 340 to 786 of the family's 1533-position model. The record is from RNAcentral.
UACGGGAGGCAGCAGUGGGGAAUAUUGCACAAUGGGCGCAAGCCUGAUGCAGCCAUGCCGCGUGUAUGAAGAAGGCCUUCGGGUUGUAAAGUACUUUUCAGCGGGGAGGAAGGCGGUGAAGUUAAUAGCUUCACCGAUUGACGUUACCCGCAGAAGAAGCACCGGCUAACUCCGUGCCAGCAGCCGCGGUAAUACGGAGGGUGCAAGCGUUAAUCGGAAUUACUGGGCGUAAAGCGCACGCAGGCGGUCUGUCAAGUCGGAUGUGAAAUCCCCGGGCUUAACCUGGGAACUGCAUUCGAAACUGGCAGGCUAGAGUCUUGUAGAGGGGGUAGAAUUCCAGGUGUAGCGGUGAAAUGCGUAGAGAUCUGGAGGAAUACCGGUGGCGAAGGCGGCCCCUGGGACAAAGCUGACGCUCAGGGUGCGAAAGCGUGGGGAGCAAACGAGGAUUAGGAUACC